RNAcentral lists this ribosomal RNA (253 nucleotides) under uncultured bacterium. Its description in RNAcentral is "partial 16S ribosomal RNA". It matches the Rfam family "Bacterial small subunit ribosomal RNA", at positions 524 to 776 of the family's 1533-position model. The record is from RNAcentral.
UACGAAGGGGGCUAGCGUUGCUCGGAUUGACUGGGCGUAAAGGGCGCGUAGGCGGUUAGUAGAGUCAGGCGUGAAAUUCCUGGGCUCAACCUGGGGGCUGCGUUUGAUACGUAUUGUCUGGAGUUCGGAAGAGGGUCGUGGAAUUCCCAGUGUAGAGGUGAAAUUCGUAGAUAUUGGGAAGAACACCGGUGGCGAAGGCGGCUAUCUGGACCGACAUUGACGCUGAUGCGCGAAAGCGUGGGGAGCAAACAGG